This 2097-nucleotide long non-coding RNA is filed under the name Salmo salar (Atlantic salmon). RNAcentral's name for it is "lncRNA (ENSSSAG00000119751.1)". Lineage: Eukaryota; Metazoa; Chordata; Actinopteri; Salmoniformes; Salmonidae. The record is from RNAcentral.
CUGAGAUGAUGGAUGGACUGGGCAUGCCGAGAUAAGAUUUCAAAUUGGUCUGUCAUGUAGCAUGCAUGUAGAGAUGAGUUUGGAUUGGUCUGCCGUGUAGUACGCUUCUGUCUAUAACACGAGCUGCUCAGUAUAUGUAGGUAAUCCUUUCUAAAGUUGAUUUUUUUUAAAGAUGUCACGAAGAACUGCAGAUGUGUUGCUAAGGCUCUCCACUUUCUGGAGGACGGAGUUUUCAAAUCAGUGGAAUGUCCAUUGGAAGCAGAGUAUGAUAGCUAAGGAGAUGGAGAAAAUUCUGGCGUUAUAUAAAAUAUCGGUCUCCGGAUUAGCUACAACUAAGGAAAACCAUGGCAUCCGUGACAGAGAGGGAGAAGCGUUCAUCCAUGUAUACGGCUGACAACGUGACCAAGAAGGAUGUCCAGUGACCUUAUAUAGAUGGGUUAGCUGACAACGUGACCAGGAAGGAUGUCCAGUGACCUUAUAUAGAUGGGUUAGCUGACAACGUGACCAAGAAGGAUGACCUGUGACCUUAUAUAGACGGGUUAGCUGACAACGUGACCAGGAAGGAUGACCUGUGACCUUAUAUAGACGGGUUAGCUGACAACGUGACCAAGAAGGAUGACCUGUGACCUUAUAUAGACGGGUUAGCUGACAACGUGACCAGGAAGGAUGUCCUGUGACCUUAUAUAGACGGGUUAGCUGACAACGUGACCAGGAAGGAUGUCCAGUGACCUUAUAUAGAUGGGUUAGCUGACAACGUGACCAAGAAGGAUGACCUGUGACCUUAUAUAGACGGGUUAGCUGACAACGUGACCAGGAAGGAUGUCCUGUGACCUUAUAUAGACGGGUUAGCUGACAACGUGACCAGGAAGGAUGUCCUGUGACCUUAUAUAGACGGGUUAGCUGACAACGUGACCAAGAAGGAUGACCUGUGACCUUAUAUAGACGGGUUAGCUGACAACGUGACCAGGAAGGAUGUCCUGUGACCUUAUAUAGACGGGUUAGCUGACAACGUGACCAGGAAGGAUGUCCUGUGACCUUAUAUAGACGGGUUAGCUGACAACGUGACCAGGAAGGAUGUCCUGUGACCUUAUAUAGACGGGUUAGCUGACAACGUGACCAAGAAGGAUGUGUGCAGAAGUCAUUGGGCAGAAGUCAUCGUGUUAUGAUUCUGGAAGGUCAGAUAGCAGCGUUGACAAGAAACUGCCCUGUCGGGAAUCCACUCCAUAUGACUGAUGUAGACUGCUCUCUUCAGGAUCCCGUCUUGGCAUGUUGGUAAAGGCUGCUUUGCUGCUAAUAGAUGCAGGUCCGGUGUCUACCUCACGUCAGUCAUUUAAUGGCUAACUUAAUGACAGUCUGAUGGGGGACGAGGACGUGGGGGCUACAAACACACCAAACAGAAAACCUUGCUGGUGUCCGUAGCAACUGGCGGAAGCUUGAGGCCGAAUAAUGGUGAUGACUAGCACAGGGAGGAUGUCGCGGUCUGAAAGGACCUGAGCACUAGGACCAUGCCUCAGGACUACCUGGCCUGAUGACUCCUUGCUGUCCCCAGUCCACCUGGUCAUGCUGCUGCUGCAGUUUCAACUGUUCUGCCUGCGGCUAUGGAACCCUGACCUGUUCACCGGACGUGCUACCUGUCCCAGACCUGCUGUUUUCAACUCUCUAGAGACAGCAGGAGAGGUAGAGAUACUCUCAAUGAUCAGCUAUGAAACGUCAACUGACAUUUACUCCUGAGGUGCUGACUUGUUGCACCCUCUACAACCACUGUGAUUAUUAUUAUUUGACCCUGCUGGUCAUCUAUAAACAUUUGAACAUUUUGGCCAUGUUCUGUUAUAAUCUCCACCCGGCACAGCCAGAAGAGGACUGGGCACCCCUCAUAGCCUGGUUCCUCUCCAGGUUUCUUCCUAGGUUCCUGCCUUUCUAGGGAGUUUGUCCUAGCCACCGUGCUUCUACACCUGCAUUGCUUGCUGUUUGGGGUUUUAGGCUGGGUUUCUGUACAGCACUUUGUGACAUCAGCUGAUGUAAGAAGGGCUUCGUAAGUACAUUUGAUUGAUUGAUGAAGAGGAAGGAAAGAGGGAUGAAGAGAGAUGAAGAGGGAGG